This 73-nucleotide transfer RNA is filed under the name Dehalococcoidia bacterium SG8_51_3. RNAcentral describes it as "tRNA-Val". It matches the Rfam family "tRNA". Rfam says of the family: Transfer RNA (tRNA) molecules are approximately 80 nucleotides in length. Their secondary structure includes four short double-helical elements and three loops (D, anti-codon, and T loops). Further hydrogen bonds mediate the characteristic L-shaped molecular structure. tRNAs have two regions of fundamental functional importance: the anti-codon, which is responsible for specific mRNA codon recognition, and the 3' end, to which the tRNAs corresponding amino acid is attached (by aminoacyl-tRNA synthetases). tRNAs cope with the degeneracy of the genetic code in two manners: having more than one tRNA (with a specific anti-codon) for a particular amino acid; and 'wobble' base-pairing, i.e. permitting non-standard base-pairing at the 3rd anti-codon position. RNAcentral also lists the same sequence under 3 other names. Lineage: Bacteria; Bacillati; Chloroflexota; Dehalococcoidia. The record is from RNAcentral.
GGGCGGUUAGCUCAGUGGUUAGAGCGCUGCGUUGACAUCGCAGAGGUCACUGGUUCAAGUCCAGUACUGCCCA